UACGUAGGGUGCAAGCGUUAAUCGGAAUUACUGGGCGUAAAGCGUGCGCAGGCGGUUUUGUAAGUCUGACGUGAAAUCCCCGGGCUCAACCUGGGAAUUGCGUUGGAGACUGCAAGGCUAGAAUCUGGCAGAGGGGGGUAGAAUUCCACGUGUAGCAGUGAAAUGCGUAGAGAUGUGGAGGAGCACCGAUGGCGAAGGCAGCCCCCUGGGUCAAGAUUGACGCUCAUGCACGAAAGCGUGGGGAGCAAACAGG
RNAcentral lists this ribosomal RNA (253 nucleotides) under uncultured bacterium. RNAcentral describes it as "partial 16S ribosomal RNA". It matches the Rfam family "Bacterial small subunit ribosomal RNA", at positions 524 to 776 of the family's 1533-position model. The record is from RNAcentral.